This 17246-nucleotide long non-coding RNA is filed under the name Sorghum bicolor (sorghum). RNAcentral's name for it is "long non-coding RNA (SBIC_LNC002199)". The record is from RNAcentral. Lineage: Eukaryota; Viridiplantae; Streptophyta; Magnoliopsida; Poales; Poaceae.
AUUGAAGAACCUGGAGAACGAUGAAGAACGAACCAGUUGCUGCAAAAGUACAAUGUUGAGGAAGAUCCGACAGAUCCGGCUCCUCCUCCUCCGUUCUCCUCUUCUCUCUCCCUAUUUUCUAGAUUACAACUAGAACGAACUAGAACUAGAGGAACUAGAACUAGAACUAGAUGAACUAGAACUAGAUCUAGAUGAACUAGAAGUAGAACUAGAAGAACUAGAGGGAUCCUCUCUACUUGGAUGAAGAAUUGAAACCCUAGCUUUGAUUCUGUAGAAGAGGUAUGAUCUCCAGGGGCCAGGGGAUCUGGUUUUAUAGUCCCUUCAUGUGAAUCUGGGCCGUCGGAUCAAACCGACAUUGAUCGCACGGUUUCCUUGAUCCUUUAGGUCGGUGGAGCAUAAUCCGCGAAACGUGUCCUGAUUGGGCACUGUAGCUGGGCGGGCGCCCAGGAGAGUUGGGCGGGCGCCCUGCCUCCGAGCCCGAUUUCCUUCCCGUUCGUUCUCGUGGCUUCUGGAGUCUUCUAGAUGAUAGAAAAUUGCGCGACACGUUAAUAUCUCUAUGUAAACCCGACGUGUGGGCCUUUCUUUCAUAUUUCCUGAUAACCCCCUGCAGAAAUAGACAAACACCAAAACUCGUCGAAUUCUGUCGGAUAAAACCCUAAGUCUAGGUGUUGGUUGCAUUUGGAUCCUUUUCCAUGAUUAGUUGAUGGUUAAAUGUGAGCAUUAUGGACCGUCAACAAGCUCCCCCAAGCUUAACCUUUGCUCGUCCCUGAGCAAAGCUAAAAUUAGCAAGAAAACAGGGGUUACUUUUAUGCCUCUUACUACAGGGUUUUUAAGUUAUCACUAAGGUCUUAAGUGAUUGAAACUCAUGUAUUUCCAUUUUCUCUAUAAAUACAAAUGUGGUUUGACGUACCAAAAAAAUAGUAGACAGAUAGAAAUAGAGAAUUAAAAAAAAAUAAAUGGAAAUAGUGAUUUUGGACAGUUGAACUGUAUCUCAAUACAAACAUUAAUGCAGAAAUUGCCUAACUGUCUCAGUAAUGUGGCUAAACAUAAAAUAUGAGCAAUUCCAACCAUCAACCACCUUUCCAAAGACAUAGGAGAGAAGUGUAGCACCAACUACACUUAGAUUUUGCUUGCAUGUGUUGUCGGAUUUACCUCAAUGGACAUGUGUUGGUUUAGGGGGAUUAAAGUGGUACGUCCAACUAGAUGCAAACAAGGCCUUACAGUGGAAUUGGUACCAAUGGCUGAACAUUGAAUUAAUGUUAGGCAGUCAGGCAAGUGUCGCAAAAAUUGUAUAAGUUGGUUUAUGUAAUUGUUCAAUUUUGUUGCCCUGUUCAUUCUCUGGUACGGUCACCCACUAGGACACAAACAUUAAUGGAGGCGUUCAUUUUGGAUUAAUGGAGGUGAGCGUUGCAACCACAUCUAACAAAUGGUCACGGUUAAUCUGUGGACUAUGGAUGCGGUUGCUUUUGCCUGCCUCAGUAAAUAAAGAAACAGAGACAGGCGUCUUGUAAUCACCUGCCUUGGUUAAUGGAUUAAAAAACAAAAAAAAAGAGCCCACCAGCGGGCCCGUUUCUGAGCUCACCGGUGAGCGCACUCGUAGCCCUAGAUCCAGGUACACCACUGUGAACCAUGAUGCUAGUGCCAUGAGCUGAAUCCACCACUCGGGGGGGCGUGCACCACUAGAUCUGCCACUCCAAAUUGCACUGUUGCUCCGGUUGCAUGCCGCUCACAGAGAACCAAGCGAAGGUAAGGCAAGGCCAACACUUGAGGAUGUGGGGGAGGGGUGCUCACCUCUCUCCUCUUAGCCUCUCCACAUCUAUUACAUAGGAGAGGGGAGCUGCCACCGCCAUCGGAUCCGCUGCGGGAUGGCCACUGCCAUUGCUCAAGGAUGUGAGGACCACGAGGGACCGCCCCGCGUUCUCGCUACACCACCGGAUGGAGAGGGGCGGCCUCAGGAGGGAGACGAAGGCCGCCACCGACCGGUUCUAGGAGGGGGUGGCCGCUAACCACCAGAUCUGGGAGGGGAGUCCACCACCCUCCGAAUCUAGGAUGGGGGAGGAAGGAGAGCCCCACUACAUCACCGUCAAUAGGGAGGGAGGGAGUUGCACUGCUGGAGGUAGAGUGGCGGCUACCAGAUGGAGGAAGGGUUGAAGGGAGUUGGCAUCCAUGCGCCCAUGGAGAGAGAAGAAGGUGAGGGAGAGGGGCACCACUCGGAGGGAGGGGUAGAGAGCAUCGUUCGGCAAAGGAGGGAGAGAGAAGUGUGCUCAGGAGAGAGCCCCACUCCGCUGAGGGAGAGGGAGGCGAAGUGAAGCAACAAAACCUAACAUCCUAUAUUAAUGUCGAAGAUGGCUAACGUGCCUCGACUGGGCCUAUUAGGCCUUGGCCUUUUUCAUGGGCAGGCUUUAUAGUGUGUCCGUCUCUAAAAAAAAGAUUUAUGAAGACGUGCACCUUAAGGCGACCUCCUCAAAAAAUAGUCGUAAGGUGCCCGCCUCCAUAUGAGUCCAUUUAUGGAGGUGGCCAAAAGUGAUCGCCUCCGUAUAUGAAAAUGCCCACCUCCAUUAAUUGUCUAGGAUUUUCCGAGGCGAUUGGAUUUUGAGAUGAUCUCCAUUAAAUAAAGUGCAAGGCCACUCAAAAUCAAGUAUGUAUAGUAGUGACCAGCCACCAUAUAUUGGUGUUUUACUGCAAUCGUCAACGCAUUCAAUCUUUCGUUAACAAAAAUAUACGGUAGCUAGUUAACAAGAACAUAGCUAGCUACUAGUUAACGAAAUGGUACACAAUUGGGAUAGAAGGAUGGCUUCAGUCAGUAGAACAUGAUGGUGCUUAUUCUUCACUGUAACACACGUAUUUUGUACCCGCGCAUUGCCACACCACAAAUAGAGUAGAGAAAAUAAACAAUUAAGAGGUAAUGUUGUAGGUGGAGCGUUCAAAUGUUAUUAUGCAAAUACUUUAACCAAUAUUAUCUAUAUCGAGGAAUUUUAUGGUAGUUGGAGAAAAUAGGAACUCUCUCCCAGGCAAUGAUAUCGGAAAGUACCAAACUGGUAGGACCGGUACCAAAUAUACAUGGAAGGAUACUUAAUUUAAUUAUUAUUUUAAUAAGUAAAAGGCAUAUAGGUAAUUUCAUAUAUCUGUAAUAUGACAUAUCUGGACUGAAUUUACAUUUUCACCCCCAUUGGUGGGGUUAGGAAAUUAAUGAUAGGGGUAUACAAUUACUACAAUACCCUUAUCUAUUAAAUUAACAAUUAAUUCUUUAUUUCAAUUUAAAUGGUGAGAUCACUGGUCAUAAAAAAUCAAAAGGCAAUGACACCUGAUGGUACCGUCCAACCACUAUAAAACAGCUCAUAUCGAUCAAUACUAGAUAGAUGUCCAUGCGUUGCACCAGGAUUCAAUCAUUUUUAAAUUUGCAAAUAUUAUAAUAAGUUAAUAAAUGAUUUUGCAUUUGGUUCAAAUCCAUCCAGCUGGGUGAAAUCACGGUUGGUUGAUCAUUACUGGUUUUAGCCACGAACCAAUAGUGAUAAUGGAUCAUCAUUGUGCAUUCAUGGCAUGCAAUCAUCGACGGAAUGGGGCAGCAGUGCAAAUAUUGAUGGAAGUGGAUUUUUCUAGAGCUUUUUUAGGUUCCUGUUCUGGUCUGGUCGAUUACUUGGGUUCAAUUCAAUCUGUUUUUGUAGAGUUUUUUUAGUAGAUGGCUGUAGAUUUUUUUUUCUUUCGGGCUGGUCCCGGUCCAGUCCGAUCCUAGUUUUUUUUUUUUUUUACGGAGACUUUUUUUUACCAGAGACUUCGUUCUGCCGGACAUGGAUGAUUUCUCCACAAAUUUAUCAGCAGGUGUAUAAAUAUGUCCACAAAUGUACCAUGUUUUUCGAAUGCAUACAAUCCACAAAUUUAAACUUUCACUGUACCAUGUAUUUGUAAUCAUUGGAUUUGUCAUAAAAUAUGUUUUCAUCACAUUGUACAUCCAUAUUUUUAUUCAAAUUUUAUGUAAAACGUUGUAAUAAACGGGAAUGGGUAAUUACGCUAGAAAUAAACUAUCCUGAGAUAUUUAAAUUAAAUUUGGUUCAUGGAAUAUUGUGCAAUCGAUUAUGUGCUUUGAAAUAGUAAUAUUUUUCAAAUAAGUAAACAACAAUGUGCAUGAUCAAAAGUCUUAUAUCAUAGAUUUCAAACCUUAAUUUUAUUAGCAGCCUUUCGGUAGUUAUGCUUUUUUUUCACCUAGGGCCAAGGAGGUGGAGAUAUUAUAUAUAGAUCUUGAUGUUGACUCUUCACGUAGGAAACAUUUUGAACUAAAGGUUUUCACUAUAAUGUCAGUUCACAUCUAAAUUAACAGUUGCAUUGUGAUACAUUAUAACGGAAAACUAAAAAUUGGUAAUGAAUAUAAUUAUGGCAGAUGAUUCAGUUAACCAGAUUAUUUCAAUUGACAAGCAUGACCAUAUGGUACAAGCCCAAUGUUUAUGAUUAAUGAUUCAAUAUACUAGAUAAAUGCUUCAGUCAGUUUUGUUUCUUUGAGAUAUAAUAUCUAAUUUCUAUUUAUCUUUCCCUUGUUAUGGUGGUAUCUACUUAUCUAGAAGGAAUGAGUUCACAACAGCGUCGAACAGAUUUGGAAAUACGGGUACAUGACCUUUUCAUCUCCUAUUCACAUAGUAACACAAUGGAUUCCAUUUUGUAGUGAAUUACUAGUACUUUAUAAAUGCUUAUAGUUUUGUGAAAUGUUUUUGCCAAUUAUUUUAGAGCCACGCUAAAGGCUCCUCUUGAGUCUAAGGCCCUGUUUAGUUACUCACCCAAAAAUUUUUCAUCCAUCCCAUCGAAUCUUUACACACAUGCAUGGAACAUUAAAUAUAUAUAAAAAAAUAAACUAAUUACACAGUUUGGUUGAAAAUCGCAAGACGAAUCUUUUAAGCCUAGUUACUCCAUAAUUAGCCUUAAUAAGUGCUACAGUAACCCACAUGUGCUAAUGAUAGAUUAAUUAUACUUAAUAUAUUUGUCUUGCAGUUUCCUGACGCGUUAUGUAAUUUGUUUUUUUAUUAGUUUCUACAAACCCUUCCCGACAUCCUUCCGACACAUCCGAUGUGACACCAAAAAAUUUUCAUCUUCAAUCUAAAUAGGGCCUAAGUUAGACUAUAACAACUAAUGCAUUCUAACUGUCCAGAUAUUGUUUAAUGUAAACAUAUGAAAUCCAUUCCUAGUCAAUAGUCCGUUUCAGGCAGGUCUAGAUAUCACUACUACUCAUAUAGGCAGGUCUAGACCUCUGAAUCAGGUAUUGGGAAGAAAAGUGAGAUUAAAACAACUUGACAAAAUGUUACGGUUGAAACACUUAGAUUUGAGACCAUUUUGAUGUCAACAUGUUAUUUUUAAUAUACAACAUAGUUAAUAUAAAAGUGGUGCAUCCAAGUGUUGUGUGGUGUCGUGGUUGAGGGUGGCUUGUGUGAUGUAAGAUCACAUUUGAAUCAGAAGGAGGUCACAUUUUAUCAAACAAGUGGGAAGAAAGGAGGAAUUUAAAUAGAUUAAAGGAGAAGGACCCGGUGAGCUUCAGUCGCCAAACAGAGAUUUUUUUUAGCCUAGUUUCAUAUUUUGAAACAAUUUUUUUAAAAAAAAAAUCGGUUUCCACCAUCUGCAAAUUAAUUGGUCUUCACUGCGCCGGCCUGCAUGCACAUCACGAGCGAGCGAAAAUGAAAGGAACAUUUACACAUGACCUAAUUAACUCCCAACAACUCUCCGGUUAGUGACAACAUAAGCAUGCAUGCACAUCAUAUCAUAAUUGAUCCUUGUUCAUGACGCACAAUCCGAAUGCUUCUUCAGACAACAGAUUUUAAUUUAAUAAAUGACCAGUUUAUGUUUUUCAUAUAAAAUCUGAAAAUCGAAAUUUAUGCCGACAUGCAUCUUGCUUAUCUUCCUGUCUACAUUUUGUACUAUGUAUGUAGGAUGAAAAACGAAGUCAAGCCCAGAGAAUGAUUAAUGAAAACCUCUCUGCUUUCUACAGCAGGGGAGUCCCUGCGGUGAACAUCUGGAUGGCCGUGUCUUUCUUUGCCAAGAUGAAACACCACCAAGUCAGUUUGACAUCGCCGUGCACCAUCAUGUAUCUGGCGUGCCUCAUCCUAUCGUCCCUCACUGACAUGGAAAUGAACAUGAUGUUUGUGACCGGCCACUUCAGGGGGCGAUGGAUGAUGGCCUACCUGUCAACAAUCCUUCAAAUCUCCGCCACUACCGCCCUAGUGCUCUUCUUCAACACCACAAACACCGUGGCCGUGUUUUCUCUCUUCGGCUUGGUCCUUGCACUUGUCAUCUACUUCUUGCGUCAGGUGCUUAGCCCCGGAAAAGUACUUGGGUUGAGGUGGCUAGAUUUCAAGGAAUUACUGAAUCAAAGAUUUGAGAUGGCUGCCCUGGUCGUGGAACCGUCGGUUGCAGGGCUGUCUGGUAAAGUACUUGGCUACUCAUCAAAUGAUCUGAUCGGUGGUGGUGCCGGACAGUACACUACGGUAGUGGCACCUGAAUGCUUCUUGUUCUACAGCGCUGUCUCUGGCCUUCUCGUGGUGCUUUUCUGCACGGUGCCACCCGCACUGACCUUCACGAGCGACAUUGAGCGUACGGCCAUUGAAUACAUGCCCAAGAUCGCCUACAUGGCACUAUUCUUCCUCGUCGUAGCCACUGUCGUGGCUGCUCAGAAGGUCCUCCAGGAGUAUGUAUACUUGCUGUGCUGUCCCAUUGCCAUCUUGGCUCUGUUCCUCUACUUGCGUGAUGCACAUCAAGCAGGUCCACCUGGCCGCCGCCUGCCAACAACAACACAAGAUCUUCUACCAGCUGAACAACGCAGCCUGAAUGAUGAGAGGCAAGAAGAAGCCAAGUUAUCCAAAUAUCUUUUCACGUCUUGUAUCUCGUCCAUUCUCAUAGCAAUCAUGGCCAUCCAUUCAAGUUACGGCUCCAUCGGCACAACGGUGUCAGUGAGCUGGUCAUGGAGAGCCUUUGUGGGCUUUGGGGUGUGUAGCAUCCUCAGCCACACAGUUCGCAUUCUGAUUUUGGAUCGGAUGACAGACACAAAAAGGUACGAAUUCUCCAGGAAGUUCUGGCUUUCCGUGACUUGUGCUGCCAUCAUAAUUACUGCCGAUCUUGCUGUGUUUGUCAUAUGCCUGCACCUAGAUGAGGUCCAAACUCCAAAGUAUAUUCUGAUCGAGCUUUAUUCUGCUUUGUGAGCUGAUCGAGUAAUAAGACACCAUGGGCAUCGCUCCUGCUUGUUUGAUGAAUGCUGAUCAAGGGUCAUGCAUGGAUCCUCGAAGUAUCUAUAAUUUGUUCAGUUAAAAAAAUCAUGUAUAUAUGAUUUGUUGUAAUAGCUAGUUGCCAUUCCGUGCAUUAUUGCAGGACUGGGCUAGCUAGUUUUUUUUCUAAUCUGUCUUGUUUUGAAAACAACCUUUUUAUUAAGAGAUGUUUCGGUGCUCCAGAAGUCCAGACUCCAGACUGGGAUACUGCGCUUUUUUUUAUCUCAAACUCUGCACUCAUUGCCUUGUAGUAAAGACUGCGCCCGAGAGCUCAUCCAAAUCGUGAGCUACAGUGACAUUUACAAACCGUUGGGAGAGGAUCGCUCCAAACAGAGGAUCGACAUGAGUCCCAACUCAUGCCGAUCUUAGCAAUCUCAUGCGUAGACGAUUUACAAGCACGUGGAACACUCAAUACUCUUGAACACCUAAAAUGAUCAGAAAAUAGCUCAGGAAUACAUCUAAGCAGGUCCCCAUUUGAAGCGAGGUACCGAGUAGUCGAGUUGAUCGCCUGCUACACUUCACCCCCGCACAUAUGUCAGGAAGAUACUAUUCAUAGGUGACAGGCACCACCUUUCUCAUCUGUCACCUCCAAGACACUACAGGAAACGGGAGCUUUGCCGAGGGCCCAACUUUGCCGAGAGCUAGACCCUCGACAAAGACUACCUUUACUGACAACCAACAAGGACCCUCGGCAAAUAAAGAGCCUUUGCCGACAGAAAGCUCUCAGCAAAGCUAGGCACUCGGCAAAGGCCAGCUUUGCCGAGACGCUGGCUCUCAGCAAUGACAGGUUCUCGGCAAAGGAGCCGCGCCAGGAACGACGACUUCCGUUGUCGUCACCUUUGCCGAGAGCCACACCGUUAGACUCUCGGCAAAGAGGAGGUCUUUCUCGGGCGCCUUGUGAAGCACUCGGCAAAUGUCACGUGGCCUAAAGCUAGGCCCAGGCCAGCAACCUUUGCCGAGCGCUGCCCACUCCGGCUCUCAGCAAAGAGCCCCUUUGCCGAUGGCCAGCAGUGGCCCUCGGCAAAGAGGAAAGGUUUUUUUUAGUUUUGGACACAAACUUUUUCUGUAACCCUUGCAUAUCGUAUACAAGCACGUGUUCAAAUUUGGGAGCUUUUUGUAAUAUUUUGCUAUAUUUUAACAAUUAAAUUAUUUUCUUUGUAUUUUUCACAAAAAAUUAAAUUUGAAAUGUAGCAGCAUGAAAUAAUAAAAUAUAGCCAUUCAAAAAAUGAUAUUCAUGUUCGAGAGUGCAUUUUGAGGUUGUAUCCAUAAACUCACUCAAAUGUUUGAAUUUCUUGUAUACAAAACAUGACCAUCCAUGUGUCGUAGAAGUGAUUUUUAAUUAUAUAAAUUCCAAAUGAUGUCCAAAAAUCAUGAAACUUGGCGACAUGUCGUGUUAUCGCAUGUGGAGGAUGUGAUAAAAAAAUCAUAAGGUUUCGAACAAGUUGCGACACAUGUGGAGAUGUCUGGGUUUUAGACAUCUGGUGUCGCAACUUGUUCGAAACCUUAUGAAUUUUUUACCACAGUCUCCACAUGCGAUAACACGACAUGUCGCCAAGUUUUGUGAUUUUUUAACUUCAUUUGGAAUUUAUAUAAUUAAAAAUCACUUUUCCCUCACAUUCCUCGACAUGUAGAGGGUUGAGAUUUCAUGUGUGGUUGUGGAUAUGGCCUCAACGUACACCAAAUAUCUUGACUAUCAUUUUUUGAGUCACUGAGUUCUAAUAUUUCAUGUACUUGUAGUUCAAAUUUGAAUUAUGUAAAAAAAUUUAAAGAAACAAAAUUAAUUAGUUAAAUAUGGCAAAAAAGUCAAAUUAAUGCCAAAUUUUGAAAUGUAUUUAGAAAUUGGGUUAGAAGGACAAAAAACUCAGCUCUAAUAUCAAAAAGAAUAAAAAAGGCAACACUUCUUUGCCGAGAGCCUGCCCUUUAGGCUCUCGGCAAAGAGUCUUUGCCGAUAGCCGCACUGGCCGGCCCUGAGCCUGUCUCUGUGGUCUCGGCAAAGGGUAUUUUCUAAAAAAAAAGAAAUCCUCUCUCCUUAUCCCCAACCCCCGCGCUGCCCGCGCACACAAGCCACACACAGGCGCCUGUAAGCCACCGCCGCCCACGCCCACCCCCGCCCCUGGACACUGUGCACCGGCGCCCGCGCCCCACCCCCGCCCCUGGACGUCUGAAAGGUCCUUGUUUGGUUUUGGUAAUUGAGUGACAACUUAGGUGGACUAAUAGUGUUUAUGUGAGAUACACAGGAGAUUAGUCCACAGGUGAUGAUAUGAUGAUGGAGGAGCUCAUUGCAUAUGAGACAUGACAUGAAGUCAUGUGACCAAGGUGGAGAAGAUCAAGAUGAGGCUUGGCUCGAUGGACCGGUUGCAAGAGUGAAGGGCAAGUCGGAGGCUUUGAAGCGAGGGACCGCGUGUGACGGUGAAGCUUGAGCAAGACUUGGCGCCGAUGGACCGAGGCAACGGUGAAGAGCAAGUUAGGUCAAGAUCGAUGAACCAAUACGGUCACGUGAUGAUAUGAAGUGGAUCAUAUCAUUUUGUGAUUGAUUGGUGCAUGUGUUGCAUCAACAUUGGAGGAGAUGGAAUGGAAAGCGCAAGGCAAAGGGAUAACCUAGGGCAUUUCCAUUUCACCGGUCAUAGGUGUGUAGAGAAGUUUAUGACUGGAUUUAGGAUAGAUAGCCGUACUAUCAAGAGGGGCAAACUUGUUUGCAUAUCGGUCAUCUAGUGCCACUUGAGCGAUCUAAAUUUGCAUACGUGUUAGGAUCGAGUGGCGUGGCAAGUUUGAGAGGCUAACUCCUUUAGGAAAAUGUUUGUGAAAAUACUAACACACAUGCACUUGGUGGUGUACACUUGGUGGUGUCGGCGCUUUUGAGAAAAUUAAGUGCAUAUUUUUUAUUGCGCCGGUGGGAAGUUUGGAGAAGUCGUGGGAAGUGUUUCUCAGUAAGAAACACUCACCGGACGCUCUGUGCGGAGGCACCGGACGCUGGCCUUUAGCGUCCGGUGUACUGUCGGAUGUAGCAGAGUGCACCGGACGCACCGGAGUGAGUCCGGUGCUCAGCGUCCGGUGUGCGGGCGGUUUGGCGACCCUCUCUGCGCAUGAGUCCGGUGAGCACCGGACGCUCAGGGCGCGUCCGGUGGCUUGCGUCCGGUGACCCUGCGACUUUGCGGAGCUCUCUGCGCACGAGUCCGGUGAGCACCGGACGCGUCCGGUGUGACUGUUGGGUAUUAUAAACGCAAACAGAAAAAUCCGCAAGCGCACGGAUACCGAUGUAGCCUUCACCCGGCAACGGCAACGGCGCCAAAAAAAGCUCAAUCAUAUUAGUGAUGCGAAUGAUAACUCAAAAUCUUUUAUUCUAUUCCUGAUUAGUAAUCAACCUUUCCCGGCAACGGCGUCAAAAAUGCUUGUUGGGUAUUCUUAACAUCAUUACCAAAAGUAGACUAAGUUCUCUAAAUCUAGUAACGGUGCCAAAAAUGCCAAACCUAUCCCUCACACCACUUAAGCCAAGUUGUCAUCCCCAGCAUGACAUGAGAGACGCGGUAUUGAAAUAUGCAAUUACUCUUCUAAAUAAAUAAUGAAUGGGAUCUGCAAGCGCACAGAUUAAUACCGAUGCAGCAUUUUAACCGGAAAGUAUUUCAGGUAUCGUUAUUUAUAUUUUUACCACUGGGAAGGGAUUAGCAAUCAUCACUAUUGAUUACAGAAUAGGAUAUGAGAUUGAGCAUCUAUCAUUGCAUGUAUAAUUGAGAACAUUAUAUCUAACUCUUCAUACAGGGAUAAGUGUCACAUAAAAGAUAUAUGAAAUAAUAAUAGUGACAAGGAUAACUAAUCUGAUCUAGCCACAUAAUAAAUAUGAUAAGCACCUCAAUUAGAUACUCUAGAAAGUCAUUAGCAUGGUAUUAAAACGAACUACAAGAAUAUUCCCUAAGUUAUUCUCAACUAUAUAGUCUAGCAUAUCAUAGUUAGUGCAAGCAUACUUAGCAAUCAUUGUGAGACAAGACUACGCCCAUGCAUAGUGAUAUUAGCAAGGAAUAUGAGAAACAUAGCAAUCACUCCCCUGUAAUAAUGUUGCUCUGCCAGCCCAAUACACGAGAGGGGGACUAUAUAAGAAUCAAUGAAGCUGUCACUAUCACGAACCACCCCACGAUCUGGCAUAUUGGGUACAAUCGCAGAUAAAUACGGUAUAAGCACCACGCCUACACAAUAUUUAUCAUUUACCCAUGGAUCUGAUGGAUAAACGCUAUACGAUCCUAAGCAUGUAUAUAGAUCGAAUCUAACUAAGCCAAGUACAUAACUAUGAUAAACUAAGAACAAUAUAAUCUUGAAUAUAAGCAAGUAGAGCAAAGUCAUAAGCAAUAUAUUGAAGUAGAACAAAGUCAUAUUCAUAAUAUUGAAGAACAAAGAUAAUUAGAAAGUAAUUAGAAGCACAAUUAGAGAAUUACCAAGAAUCCUCUUGACAGAUCCGGAAACCAAUCGAAGAUUGACUCCUUCUAGUUCUAAUCCUAUGUAGCUAUGCUAAUCUAGAUGUCUAAUUGAUGUGGUGGCUCUAAUCUUGAUUAGAGGCUUCUUCUCCCUUGAUGGAACAAUGAAUUAGGGUUGAGAGGCUCUCUCCUCCAGGGGCCAGGGGGUCUGGUUUUAUAGUCCCUCCAAGUGAAUAUGGGCCAUUGGAUCAAACCGACAUAGAUUGUAUGGUUUAGAUUCAUCCUUUAGGUCGGUGGAGAUCUCCCACGAAGCAGAGUCCUGAUUGGACUCAAGGAGGGGGCGGGCGCCCUGCCUCUGGCCCCGUUUCGCCUCCGCUUCGGUCUCGUGGCUUCUGGAGUCUUCUAGAUGUAAGAUAAUUGCGCGGCACGUUAAUAUCUCUAUGUAAUCCCGACGUGUGGGCCUUUCUUCCAUAUUUCCUGAUAACCCCCUGCAGAAAUAGACAAACACCAAAACUCGUGGAAUUCUGUCAGAUAAAACCCUAAGUCUAGAUCUUGAUUUCAUUUGGAUCCUUUUCUUUAUUUAUUUGAUAAUUAAAUUUGAUACUUAAGGACCGUCAACAUGGUGCUUGUUACUCUUGGAGGUUGCCACCUCCUAGACGGCUUGGUGGCUUGUGACUCCGUCGAAGCACGCAAGGAGAUUGUGAGGUGCUCCGGAGAAGAGAUUGUGAGGGGUACGGUGCUCACCACGCGGGGAUCACGAAGAGCAACUCUAUUGGAUCGUGCGUGUCAUUGAGCUACCUCACUUGUGGGUAGGUUCUUGCGGUGUCCUAGUGGGGACGAGGUUCGUGUAACACCUCUUAGCCGCCGAACCACCAAGUGUUGGUCGACACAACGGGAACGUAGCUUGGUGGCAACCAAGUGAACCUCGGGAGAAAAUCAUCGUGUCAACAUUGUUCUUCCCGUUGGUUUGCAAGUCCCUAACACAAGCUUGUUCUUACAUUCAUAUAUUUGUGCUUGUGUAGUUGCUCUUGUAAUUAGUUAGCUUGUGUAGCUUGCUAGUUACCUUCUUGCUUGUGUAGCUAGAAGUAGUUCCCUUUGCGUGACUAAUUUGGUUUGUGUAACCUUGUUAGUCACUUUGCUUAGUUUGUGUAGCUAAGUAAGUUGCGCUCUCUAAUUUGGCAUUAGUUGCCUUGUUAUUGAGCUUGCUAGUGAGCUUAGGCUCUGUGCGCUUUGCCUCACUAGUUUGAGUAGGAACUCCCCCGGUUUGCAAAGUACUGGUUGCAUAGGUUUGUGUGACCUUGCUCCUAGAAUUGAUUAGGUGAAGCUCUUGCUAAGGUAGCACCUUGCUUGCUUGUUUAGGAUCUUUUCAAGGUGCUAGAGAACUUAGAUAGAGGGGUGUAGUCUUGGCUAGACCGAUAGUUUUAAUUCCGCAUUUGUUUCGGUUAGCCAGCGUAAUAAUUUUUAGAAAGGACUAUUCACCCCCCCCCCUCUAGUCCGCCAUCUCGACCCUUCAAGUGGUAUCAGAGCUAGGUCUCUCUUUUGUGGUCUUCACCGACCCGAGAGGAUGGCGUCUAGUGGGAUAGAUGAUUGUGAGACACACAUUUUUGAUGGUACAAACUUUGCACUUUGGAAAAAUCACAUGCUUGAUCAUUUUCGUGCAAAGGGACCUAAAUUUUGGUGGAUUGUCACUAAUGGUCUCACACACAACUUGGACCAUAAGAAUCUCACCAAAGCUCAAAAGGUUCUCUUUGAACUUUAUUGUGAAGCUUAUUGUUUUCUAAUGAAAUCUUUGAGCUUUGAGUUGUUUGAUAGGAUAAACUCCAAAGGAACCGCAUAUGAAAUAUGGGAGUCUAUCAAACACACCUUCGGUGAUUCUUCCACAUGGGAUGAUGGCAAGUUCAAAAAGGAGGAACCAAAGGUGGAGAAAAUUAAGUGCAUAUUUUCUAUUGCGCCGGUGGGAAGUUUGGAGAAGUCGUGGGAAGUGUUUCUCAGUAAGAAACACUCACCGGACGCUCUGUGCAGAGGCACCGGACGCUGGCCUUUAGCGUCCGGUGUACUGUCGGGUGUAGCAGAGUGCACCGGACGCACCGGAGUGAGUCCGGUGCUCAGCGUCCGGUGUGCGGGCGGUUUGGCGACCCUCUCUGCGCAUGAGUCCGGUGAGCACCGGACGCUCAGGGCGCGUCCGGUGGCUUGCGUCCGGUGACCCUGCGACUUUGCGGAGAUCUCUGCGCACGAGUCCGGUGAGCACCAGACGCGUCCGGUGUGACUGUUGGGUAUUAUAAACGCAAACAGAAAAAUCCGCAAGCGCACGGAUACCGAUGUAGCCUUCACCCGGGAGUAUUCCAGAGUAUCGAUUUUCUACAGGGAACGUGAGUGUACUAAUUAAGAUUCAAGAUCGCCCAAGGAGAACUAUAUAAUUAUUUUUGGUGGGAAGAGAGGAAGUUUCCUGAGAGUUCUCUAGUUGAUCUAAGAAUCAAGAAUUACUUCAAGAUUAUUUAUAUCGGGACAUCAGAGCACUAACCACAGAAAGAGAUGAGAAGGGGGCUAGGAAGGUCUGACUACGGUAGGAAGGUCUGACUACGAUCCUACAAACACCGAUCCGAACGAGGUGGAAUACGUCGACCGUUAGGGCUGUCACUACCCUAAGGCUACCACAACAAUCCGCAGGAUUGGGUGCAAUUCCAGGUAAUUGCAAGACUAAAUACCACGUCUAAUCUAUUAAUUACUACUCUAAUGUUGCAAAGAUUAGAGCACUUGAUGCAAGCGGGAAUCCAAUAAAUAACUUGAAUGUAAAUAAAAGUAAUUAAAGAACUCAGUAUUAUAAAUUGAAGAACCUGGAGAACGAUGAAGAACGAACCAGUUGCUGCAAAAGUACUAUGUUGAGGAAGAUCCGACAGAUCCGGCUCCUCCUCCUCCGUUCUCCUCUUCUCUCUCCCUAUUUUCUAGAUUACAACUAGAACGAACUAGAACUAGAACUAGAGGAACUAGAACUAGAACUAGAUGAACUAGAACUAGAUCUAGAUGAACUAGAAGUAGAACUAGAAGAACUAGAGGGAUCCUCUCUACUUGGAUGAAGAAUUGAAACCCUAGCUUUGAUUCUGUAGAAGAGGUAUGAUCUCCAGGGGCCAGGGGAUCUGGUUUUAUAGUCCCUUCAUGUGAAUCUGGGCCGUCGGAUCAAACCGACAUUGAUCGCACGGUUUCCUUGAUCCUUUAGGUCGGUGGAGCAUAAUCCGCGAAACGUGUCCUGAUUGGGCACUGUAGCUGGGCGGGCGCCCAGGAGAGUUGGGCGGGCGCCCUGCCUCCGAGCCCGAUUUCCUUCCCGUUCGUUCCCGUGGCUUCUGGAGUCUUCUAGAUGAUAGAAAAUUGCGCGACACGUUAAUAUCUCUAUGUAAACCCGACGUGUGGGCCUUUCUUUCAUAUUUCCUGAUAACCCCCUGCAGAAAUAGACAAACACCAAAACUCGUGGAAUUCUGUCGGAUAAAACCCUAAGUCUAGGUGUUGGUUGCAUUUGGAUCCUUUUCCAUGAUUAGUUGAUGGUUAAAUGUGAGCAUUAUGGACCGUCAACAAGCUCCCCCAAGCUUAACCUUUGCUCGUCCCUGAGCAAAGCUAAAAUUAGCAAGAAAACAGGGGUUACUUUUAUGCCUCUUACUACAGGGUUUUUAAGUUAUCACUAAGGUCUUAAGUGAUUGAAAAACAGAACAAUCAAGUCAAGCACUAUGUCUCAAGUUCUUCUGUCUUACCUUUGCUCUGGAGUUUUUUUUAUAAGUCUGCAAAAUAAAACCGAGGCAUUUGCCUUCUUCUCAAAAGAUAUAUAUAAAUAGAGCUUUAAAAGUUUUAGCAUACUUAUUUUGCAUUUUGCUAUGUCAACGCUCGGAGUAAGGGAGAGGAAUGUCAUACUCCUAGAUCAAGACCUUUGACCUUUUUGAAAAGUUUGUCAUCUCUUACUGGCAUAUUGCUUAUUAGAGGGACCAUGGGCUAUCAUUUUUUUUCUAUUUUUUUCAGUCUCUUUUUUUUCAAGUGGGCAGCAAGUACCCCUAAUUCUACUAUCGGACACAUGUCCAUUUUUUUCCACUCAGGAGGGUAUCUUUGUACCCCUAAUUCUACUUCGGACACUUGUCCAUUUUUACCUCUCGUCUCACUCUCUUUUUUUUCGAGUCACAUUUUUGCAUAGUCCCAUGCCUCUAACGCAAUGAUACUUCGGAAGAGUGAAUCUUUUAUAUUUUUAAAACAAAAAGAUCUUGAUCUUGGGAGCAUGAUAAUUCUCUCAACGAAAACUACAAGAAUUAACAAUGGCUUGAACAAAGCAAGUGCCCAUAGUUUUAAUAUUUAUAUCUUAUAAGACUCUAGGUAUUAUGAUCUCAUAUAUUUUUUAUGAAUUUUUAGAUUUUCAAAAGAUAAAAUCUCCAGAACUCUAGCAAAACUUGGAACAAGUUAAAUAGUAGCUCAAACCUUCUCAUAUCAUGUUUGUCAAUUACCUAGACUUGAAUCAAACUUUUUUUAUUUUUAUUUAAAACUUAGGAUUACACAAAACUAUUGUAUAUUACUCAAAAGAAAAACUUUGUUUGGUUUCAUGGUUAUGCAUUUUUUUUAUUUCUGAAUACUAGUAAAUAAAACCAAAGGAAGAAAAGUAAUACUUAUCUAGAUACACGUGGGGGUGCCUCCCCCAAGCGGGAUGUUGACAUAGUCGUUCACUCUUGUGGCCUGCAUGGUUGGUCUCACUCUUCUUAAGCCUCAAAAUCCUGCACAACCCAAAUAGACAACAAAACUUGUGGAACAUGUUAAGGGUUAGGUAAUUGUCUAGAGCUUAUGAGAGCUUAAUGUGAGAAUUCUAUGAACUCCAUCACAUCAAGUUCCUCUACCAGGUUGUUUUGUGGCUCGAGAUAGAUUUUCAAGUGUUGACCAUUUACCUUAAAAGUGUUACCUAUGUCAUCUUGGAUGGUAAUAGCUCCAUGAGUUGAAGUGUCAAUAACCUUGUAUGGUCCAUCCCACUUACUUCGUAGCUUACCAUGACCAAAGAGCUUAACUCUUGAAUUGAAUAGUAGAACCUUAUCUCCAGGCUUAAACUCCUUGUGCUUGAUUCUCUUAUCAUGCCAUCAUUUUUUUCUCUCUUUAUAGAUCCUUGAAUUGUGGUAGGCUUUCUCUCUCCAUUCUUCUAGCUUAGAUAGUUGCAUCAGACGAUUCUCGCUAGCGAGGUGGAGAUCCAUGUUCCAUUUCUUGAGUGCCCAAUGAGCCUUAAACUCUACUUCCACAGGCAAGUGACAAGUUUUUCCAUAUACAAGUUGAUAAGGUGACAUGCCUAUGGGUGUUUUGAAUGCAGUUCUAUAUGCCCAAAGUGCAUCAGGAAGUUUGUCCUUCCACCCCUUACCCAUCUCAUCUACGGUCUUUUGUAAAAUAUUUUUGAUUUGUUUGUUAGAUGUUUCGGCUUGACCGCUAGUCUGAGGAUGGUAUGGUGUUGCGACGUUGUGUCGAACUCCAUGAUCGGCUAGGUACUUUCGAAAGAUUUUGUCGAUGAAGUGGGAACCUCCAUCACUUAUAACUAUCCGGGGUAUACCAAAGCGAGGAAAGAUUACUUCAUGGAACAUUCUUUUGGCAUGUUUUCAAUCAGCUG